UGUGCCAGCAGCCGCGGUAAUACAGAGGGUGCAAGCGUUAAUCGGAAUUACUGGGCGUAAAGCGAGCGUAGGUGGCUUGAUAAGUCAGAUGUGAAAGCCCCGGGCUUAACCUGGGAACGGCAUCUGAUACUGUUAGGCUAGAGUAGGUGAGAGGAAGGUAGAAUUCCAGGUGUAGCGGUGAAAUGCGUAGAGAUCUGGAGGAAUACCGAUGGCGAAGGCAGCCUUCUGGCAUCAUACUGACACUGAGGUUCGAAAGCGUGGGUAGCAAACAGGAUUAGAUACCCUGGUAGUCCACGCCGUAAACGAUGUCUACUAGUCGUUGGGUCCCUUGAGGACUUAGUGACGCAGCUAACGCAAUAAGUAGACCGCCUGGGGAGUACGGCCGCAAGGUUAAAACUCAAAUGAAUUGACGGGGGCCCGCACAAGCGGUGGAGCAUGUGGUUUAAUUCGAUGCAACGCGAAGAACCUUACCUGGUCUUGACAUAUCUAGAAUCCUGCAGAGAUGCGGGAGUGCCUUCGGGAAUUAGAAUACAGGUGCUGCAUGGCUGUCGUCAGCUCGUGUCGUGAGAUGUUGGGUUAAGUCCCGCAACGAGCGCAACCCUUGUCCUUAGUUACCAGCGGUUUGGCCGGGAACUCUAAGGAUACUGCCAGUGACAAACUGGAGGAAGGCGGGGACGACGUCAAGUCAUCAUGGCCCUUACGACCAGGGCUACACACGUGCUACAAUGGUAGGUACAGAGGGCAGCUACACAGCGAUGUGAUGCGAAUCUCAAAAAGCCUAUCGUAGUCCAGAUUGGAGUCUGCAACUCGACUCCAUGAAGUAGGAAUCGCUAGUAAUCGCGGAUCAGAAUGCCGCGGUGAAUACGUUCCCGGGCCUUGUACACACCGCCCGUCACACCAUGGGAGUUGAUUGCACCAGAAGUGGUUAGCCUAACCUUUUAGGAAGGCGAUCACCACGGUGUGGUUGAUGACUGGGGUGAAGUCGUAACAAGGUAACCGA
This 1000-nucleotide ribosomal RNA is filed under the name uncultured bacterium. RNAcentral's name for it is "bacterial SSU rRNA". It matches the Rfam family "Bacterial small subunit ribosomal RNA", at positions 504 to 1503 of the family's 1533-position model. The record is from RNAcentral.